This is a long non-coding RNA of Neofelis nebulosa (Clouded leopard), 3082 nucleotides long. RefSeq lists it as uncharacterized. NCBI's taxonomy places the organism in Eukaryota, Metazoa, Chordata, Mammalia, Carnivora, Felidae. The record is from RefSeq and is a predicted model, not a curated record. The transcript is spliced from 3 exons.
GCUGCCUGGAUGUACAGACGCCCAAUGGUCUCCUGGUCCGCGACUGCACGCCUGCGCGGCGGUCUGAACCCCUUAGAGCGCACAGGAUUGGGAACAAAGGGAAGUGAUUGGGGUUACCAGACCUAGAAGCUCAGUGAAGAAGUUUUGUGUCACUGAAACUCAGACUCUCAGAGGAAGAGGUGCUGUCUCUCUGGUGAUACUUCUGAGGGACACAAAGAGAGAGAAUCCAAAAGGGUGGAAACCCGAACCAAUUGUUACUGCUGAGGACCCUUUUGGACAGAGUUUAACAAGAGACGAGUGGGCAAAGGAGAGUGUGGCUUGAGAGCCCAGCUCCAGCAUCACAAAGAUAAGUAUAAAGGGUGGGAAUUUUUGCAGGGGGAAAAUAGCUUACUAACCUGCAUGCCAUAUGUUUUAGAACUAUUUCUGGACUUUCUAUUUUGUUCUGUUCUUCUGACAGUUCAUGUGCUAGUACCACAUUGUUUUAUGUCUCUGCUAUGACUAAUGCCCACUCAGUCUUCUUUUUCAGAAUAUUCCCCGUUCCUUUAUCUUUGUUCACUAUUUCUUUUUCCCAAAGCAACAUUGCUGUAAGUAUGGAUUGGUAUAAUGUUAAACCUAUCAAUUGGUAGAAAUAAUUGUCCAGUGUAUGAUGUAGAAUAUUCAGGACAGGGCUUUCUAUGAGUUCAAGGCUUCUUUGUUGUUGCUUAAAUCCAUAAUUUAUAACACCCCCACUUUCUGGACCAAAUUCUAUAUAAGUUCAUGUUCUUAGUCACCAGCAACAGAACUGUCCUCUGACUGGUUCAUCCAGAGAAAAGACUGCACUGAAAAAUUUUGAGUAGGUUUCAGAAUUUUCAACAGCCCUGCAGAACAAGACAUAGAGGCCAUGUAGCCAUAACCCAGCCCAAACCAUAGUACCUCCUCUGCUCCUGGCAAGGUGAGGCUGUGGCUUUCACAUUGACCACACAGCAUGGACCUGGCUCUUCUGCUAUCAUCACUGGUUCCUGUUUCCAUGUAUGGGUUGGGGACAUCCCACCAAACAAGCCCAAGUCAUGCACCCACCACUGGCAGGACAAACUGUAAGGGAGGGGAAGCAGAAUCUGGAUGUUCUAACUUCCCAAAACAUAUCGAGAGAGUACAGAGCUCUCUCAUCCAGGUGUCCACAGAUAGCUUCCAUUGAGCCUACAAAUGAGAAAUCUGUGUCCCAUUGUCCAAGACUUCCCUGCCAUUAAUGGGAAAGUUAAUAUACAUGCUCAUCUCUGGGCCAGUAACAGCCAAUUACAGUUGCCCUAGAAAUGCUUGUUCUCUUGACCACAUUCCUUACCCUCUCUAGGUCUUUACCUUCUCAUAUAUAAAGGGAGGUAGAAAGGUGGGAGAGCUGAAGAAGGAAAGGCUGUAGGUCACGUAUUUUAUUAAUUCUUUUGUUUAACACAGCAUAUGUUAAACAGUAUGUAUAAGUUCUAUGCAAUUUUAAAUAUAAGAAAUGGAACAAAUACUGUGGACCCUGCUUAUAAAAUAUAUUAAACAUAAUUUAGAAAAUCCCUGUUAUCUCCAGUGACAUCUUCCUCCUUCCCACAUAUAGUCUUUUUUCUGAAUUUUGUGUUAAUCACAUUCUCUUUUAUACUUUCCAAACAUAAGCAUGUAUUGCUAAACUUCAUGUUGUUUAAUCUUCUCCAUUUCCUUCUGCUUUAUAGAAAUGAAACUGGAAAAUAUGUAUUCUUCUGUCACUUGCUUUUUCCAGCAACAAUAUCCUUAUGAGAUUCACCAAUGUUAAUGUGUACGCUCUUUGUUCACUUUUCAAUGCUGUAUGGUGUUCCGUUGUAUGAAUAUUCCAUAAUGCAUUUACCCAUUCUUUUUUUCCUGGCCAUUGGGGUCAUUUACCAUUUUUAGCUAUAGUAGCAGUGUUGCUGUGAACACAAAAUACCUGACAAAUGUUUCUCUAGGGACUGUAUCUUGAAAUGUAAUUCCUGGAUUAUAGAGUAGGGCAUCUUCAACCUUGUUAUUUUCCAAAAUGGCUGUAAAUUCCUAUAGUAACCCUCCCUGUAUCCUUGUCCCUUGUAAUGUGAUUUGGAGCUCCUCCCAUCAGGAGGUAGAGUCUGUUGUUUCAUCUCUUGACUGUGGGGUGGUGCUGUUCUUUAUCCAAUAGAAUGUGUUGGAAGUAAUGGUGUGCUUGUUCCAAGUCUCUGAGUACUUCCCCUCCCUUGAAACUUCCGCUGCCAUGUGAACUGCCCAGGUUAAUCUGUGGUAGAUGUGACACUAUGGGGAGCAGAGAAGAGCCAUCCAUAACCAAACCCACUGUAUUAUUUUCCUAUUGCAGUUGUAACAAAUUACCAAAACUUAGUUGUUAAAAAUAAUACAAAUUUAUUAUCUUACAGUUCUGAAGAUCAGAAGUCAAACAUGGGUCUUACUAGACUAAAAUUGAAGUGUCUUUUGGAGAUCAUAAGGGAGAAUCUAUUUUCUUUUCUUGUCUACCUUUUAGAAACCUCCCACAUUCUGUGGAAAAUGGCCCCUUCUCCAUUUCAAAGCCAGCAGUAUAGCAUCUUCAAACAGUUCCCCCUCUCUGACUUGUGAUUCCAUCAUCACAUCUCCUGCUAUCCUCCUGUUUCCUUACUUCUUUGUAAGAAUCUUUGUGAUUACAUUGGGCCCAGGCAGAUAAUCCAGGACAAUCCUCCCUUUUCAGGAUUCCAUCUGCAAAAUCCUGAUGAGACACAGCCAUUGCUAACUGAUAACAUACAUGUUUUAUCUUCAGUUUCUUAAUUUGGAUACUAGAUCAUUAAUUUUGAGACUUUUUCCUUUUGGAUAGAGCAUAUAUGAUUAUGUAUUGUCCUCUAAAUUCUGCUGACAUGUCAAAAUUUUUGAUAUUUAAUAUUUUAUUGUUAUUCAAUUCUAAACAUUUUCUAAGUUCCAAUAUUAAUGAACUGGUUUUUGGUCCAUGAGUUGCUUAGAUCAUGGCUUUUAAAUUUCCAAGCAUACAGCAAAGGAAACAACCAACAAAACUAAAAGGCAACCAACGGAAUGGGAAAAGAUAUUUGCAAAUGACAUAUCGGACAAAGGGCUAGUAUCCAAAAUUUAUAAAGAGCUCACCAAA